Long non-coding RNA from Zophobas morio, 199 nucleotides. RefSeq lists it as uncharacterized. The record is from RefSeq and is a predicted model, not a curated record. NCBI's taxonomy places the organism in Eukaryota, Metazoa, Arthropoda, Insecta, Coleoptera, Tenebrionidae. The transcript has 3 exons.
CUAUUAUGUGCAGCAAUAUUACAGGCUCGUGGGCCAUAAUUACUGCUUUGUUGAGUAAGGGACCAAUAUUUGUUAAGUACUACCUCGCUAAGUUUAUCGCCUUCCUUAAAAUUACUAGAGAAAAAGUGGGGCACACAAACCGCUCUGAUUCGUUGCUAUUCUUAAGCUCUUCUUUAUCUGCACUUUAUAGUUUUGUAUU